This 71-nucleotide transfer RNA is filed under the name Loxodonta africana (African savanna elephant). It matches the Rfam family "tRNA". Rfam says of the family: Transfer RNA (tRNA) molecules are approximately 80 nucleotides in length. Their secondary structure includes four short double-helical elements and three loops (D, anti-codon, and T loops). The record is from Rfam by way of RNAcentral. Lineage: Eukaryota; Metazoa; Chordata; Mammalia; Proboscidea; Elephantidae.
GCAGCGGUGGUUCAGUGGCAGAAUUCUCUCCUUCCAAGAGGGAGACCUGGGUUCAGCUUCUGGUCAGUGCA